Molecule: ribosomal RNA, 325 nt
Filed under: uncultured eukaryote
Lineage: Eukaryota
Description: partial 18S ribosomal RNA
Rfam family: Eukaryotic small subunit ribosomal RNA
Source: RNAcentral
CCCUUAGAUGUCCUGGGCCGCACGCGCGCUACACUGAUGCAUUCAACGAGUAUUUCCUUGGCCGAGAGGCCUGGGCAAUCUUUUAAACCUGCAUCGUGAUAGGGAUAGAUUAUUGCAAUUAUUAAUCUUGAACGAGGAAUUCCUAGUAAACGCAAAUCAUCAAUUUGCAUUGAUUACGUCCCCGCCCUUUGUACACACCGCCCGUCGCACCUACCGAUUGAAUGGUCCGGUGAAAUCUCGGGAUUGUGGCCAGUUCACUUUAUUGGGAGUUGGCUGCGAGAACUUGCUUAAACCUUAUCAUUUAGAGGAAGGUGAAGUUGUAACA